This 495-nucleotide ribosomal RNA is filed under the name uncultured bacterium. RNAcentral describes it as "partial 16S ribosomal RNA". It matches the Rfam family "Bacterial small subunit ribosomal RNA", at positions 28 to 507 of the family's 1533-position model. The record is from RNAcentral.
GACGAACGCUGGCGGCGUGCCUAAUACAUGCAAGUAGAACGCUGAAGGAGGAGCUUGCUCUUCUGGAUGAGUUGCGAACGGGUGAGUAACGCGUAGGUAACCUGCCUGGUAGCGGGGGAUAACUAUUGGAAACGAUAGCUAAUACCGCAUAAGAGUAGAUGUUGCAUGACAUUUACUUAAAAGUUGCAAUUGCAUCACUACCAGAUGGACCUGCGUUGUAUUAGCUAGUUGGUGGGGUAACGGCUUACCAAGGCUACGAUACAUAGCCGACCUGUGAGGGGGAUCGGCCACACUGGGACUGAGACACGGCCCAGACGCCUACGGGAGGCAGCAGUAGGGAAUCUUCGGCAAUGGACGGAAGGCUGACCGAGCAACGCCGCGUGAGUGAAGAAGGUUUUCGGAUCGUAAAGCUCUGUUGUAAGAGAAGAACGAGUGUGAGAGUGGAAAGUUCACACUGUGACGGUAUCUUACCAGAAAGGGACGGCUAACUACGUG